GGCCUAUCAGCUUGUUGGUGGGGUAAUGGCCUACCAAGGCGACGACGGGUAGCCGGCCUGAGAGGGCGAUCGGCCACACUGGGACUGAGACACGGCCCAGACUCCUACGGGAGGCAGCAGUGGGGAAUAUUGCACAAUGGGCGGAAGCCUGAUGCAGCGACGCCGCGUGAGGGAUGACGGCCUUCGGGUUGUAAACCUCUUUCAGUACCGACGAAGCGAGAGUGACGGUAGGUACAGAAGAAGCACCGGCCAACUACGUGCCAGCAGCCGCGGUAAUACGUAGGGUGCGAGCGUUGUCCGGAAUUACUGGGCGUAAAGAGCUCAUAGGCGGUUUGUCACGUCGGCUGUGAAAUCCCAUCGCUCAACGGUGGGCUUGCAGUCGAUACGGGCUGACUUGAGUACUGCAGGGGAGACUGGAAUUCCUGGUGUAGCGGUGAAAUGCGCGGAUAUCAGGAGGAACACCGGUGGCGAAGGCGGGUCUCUGGGCAGUAACUGACGCUGAGGAGCGAAAGCGUGGGUAGCAAACAGGAUUAGAUACCCUG
Molecule: ribosomal RNA, 542 nt
Filed under: uncultured bacterium
Lineage: Bacteria
Description: bacterial SSU rRNA
Rfam family: Bacterial small subunit ribosomal RNA
Source: RNAcentral